GCCUGGGUGGCUCAGUCGCUUGAGCGUCUGACUUCGGCUCAGGUCAUGAUCUCACAGUCUGUGAGUUCGAGCCCUGCAUCAGGCU
This 85-nucleotide transfer RNA is filed under the name Felis catus (domestic cat). It matches the Rfam family "tRNA". From Rfam's summary of the family: Transfer RNA (tRNA) molecules are approximately 80 nucleotides in length. Their secondary structure includes four short double-helical elements and three loops (D, anti-codon, and T loops). The record is from Rfam by way of RNAcentral. Lineage: Eukaryota; Metazoa; Chordata; Mammalia; Carnivora; Felidae.